AUACGUAGGGAGCAAGCGUUGUCCGGAAUUACUGGGCGUAAAGGGCGCGUAGGCGGGGAUUUAAGUCAGGUGUGAAAACUCCGAGCUCAACUUGGAGAUUGCACUUGAAACUGGGUAUCUUGAGGGCAGGAGAGGAAAGUGGAAUUCCUAGUGUAGCGGUGAAAUGCGUAGAUAUUAGGAGGAACACCAGUGGCGAAGGCGACUUUCUGGACUGUACCUGACGCUGAGGCGCGAAAGCGUGGGUAGCGAACGGGAUUAGAUACCCCGGUAGUCCACGCUGUAAACGAUGAAUACUAGGUGUAGGAGGUAUCGACCCCUUCUGUGCCGCAGUUAACACAAUAAGUAUUCCGCCUGGGGAGUACGAUCGCAAGAUUGAAACUCAAAUGAAUUGACGGGG
Molecule: ribosomal RNA, 397 nt
Filed under: uncultured bacterium
Lineage: Bacteria
Description: partial 16S ribosomal RNA
Rfam family: Bacterial small subunit ribosomal RNA
Source: RNAcentral